Small nuclear RNA from Oryctolagus cuniculus (rabbit), 99 nucleotides. NCBI's taxonomy places the organism in Eukaryota, Metazoa, Chordata, Mammalia, Lagomorpha, Leporidae. The record is from Ensembl.
GUGCUUUCAGCAGCACAUAUAGUAAAAUGGGAACCAUACCGAGUAAUGGCCCCUGAGCAAGGUGAUAUGCAAAUUCCUAAAGCUUUUUACACCAUUUUU